AGUCGAGCGGAUGACGGGAGCUUGCUCCUUGAUUCAGCGGCGGACGGGUGAGUAAUGCCUAGGAAUCUGCCUGGUAGUGGGGGACAACGUUUCGAAAGGAACGCUAAUACCGCAUACGUCCUACGGGAGAAAGCAGGGGACCUUCGGGCCUUGCGCUAUCAGAUGAGCCUAGGUCGGAUUAGCUAGUUGGUGAGGUAAUGGCUCACCAAGGCGACGAUCCGUAACUGGUCUGAGAGGAUGAUCAGUCACACUGGAACUGAGACACGGUCCAGACUCCUACGGGAGGCAGCAGUGGGGAAUAUUGGACAAUGGGCGAAAGCCUGAUCCAGCCAUGCCGCGUGUGUGAAGAAGGUCUUCGGAUUGUAAAGCACUUUAAGUUGGGAGGAAGGGCAGUAAGUUAAUACCUUGCUGUUUUGACGUUACCGACAGAAUAAGCACCGGCUAACUCUGUGCCAGCAGCCGCGGUAAUACAGAGGGUGCAAGCGUUAAUCGGAAUUACUGGGCGUAAAGCGCGCGUAGGUGGUUCGUUAAGUUGGAUGUGAAAGCCCCGGGCUCAACCUGGGAACUGCAUCCAAAACUGGCGAGCUAGAGUACGGUAGAGGGUGGUGGAAUUUCCUGUGUAGCGGUGAAAUGCGUAGAUAUAGGAAGGAACACCAGUGGCGAAGGCGACCACCUGGACUGAUACUGACACUGAGGUGCGAAAGCGUGGGGAGCAAACAGGAUUAGAUACCCUGGUAGUCCACGCCGUAAACGAUGUCAACUAGCCCUUGGAAUCCUUGAGAUUUUAGUGGCGCAGCUAACGCAUUAAGUUGACCGCCCGGGGGAAUACGGCCGCCAGGGUUAAAACUCAAAUGAAUUGACGGGGGCCCGCACAAACCGGUGGAACAGGUGGUUUAAUUUCAAACCACCGCGAAGAACCUUUCCCGGGCCUUGACAUUGC
This 940-nucleotide ribosomal RNA is filed under the name Pseudomonas sp. RNAcentral's name for it is "bacterial SSU rRNA". It matches the Rfam family "Bacterial small subunit ribosomal RNA", at positions 60 to 990 of the family's 1533-position model. The record is from RNAcentral. Lineage: Bacteria; Pseudomonadati; Pseudomonadota; Gammaproteobacteria; Pseudomonadales; Pseudomonadaceae.